This 350-nucleotide unclassified non-coding RNA is filed under the name soil metagenome. RNAcentral's name for it is "partial contains 5.8S ribosomal RNA, internal transcribed spacer 2, and large subunit ribosomal RNA". The stretch from base 1 to 120 matches the Rfam family "5.8S ribosomal RNA", at positions 35 to 154 of the family's 154-position model. The record is from RNAcentral.
GAUGAAGAACGCAGCGAAAUGCGAUACGUAAUGUGAAUUGCAGAAUUCAGUGAAUCAUCGAAUCUUUGAACGCACAUUGCGCCCGCCAGUAUUCUGGCGGGCAUGCCUGUUCGAGCGUCAUUUCAACCCUCAAGCCCAGCUUGGUGUUGGGGAUCGGCACAGGCGCCCUCGGGCGCCCGCCGUCCCCUAAAUCUAGUGGCGGUCCCGCUGCAGCCUCCUCUGCGUAGUAGUUUUCUCCUCGCAAGGGCAGCUCGGUGGCGACCUCGCCGUAAAACCCCCAACUUCUGAAAGGUUGACCUCGAAUCAGGUAGGAAUACCCGCUGAACUUAAGCAUAUCAAUAAGCGGAGGA